UACGUAGGGGGCAAGCGUUGUCCGGAUUUAUUGGGCGUAAAGAGCGUGUAGGCGGCCAUGUAGGUCCGUUGUGAAAACUCGAGGCUCAACCUCGAGACGCGGAUGGAAACCAUGUGGCUAGAGUCCGGAAGAGGAGAGUGGAAUUCCUGGUGUAGCGGUGAAAUGCGCAGAUAUCAGGAAGAACACCCGUGGCUAAGGCGGCUCUCUAGUACGGUACUGACGCUGAGACGCGAAAGCGUGGGGAGCGAACAGG
Molecule: ribosomal RNA, 253 nt
Filed under: uncultured bacterium
Lineage: Bacteria
Description: partial 16S ribosomal RNA
Rfam family: Bacterial small subunit ribosomal RNA
Source: RNAcentral